UCCGAAUGGUGUAGAAGGAAU
RNAcentral lists this microRNA (21 nucleotides) under Zea mays. RNAcentral's name for it is "microRNA miR-3172". The record is from RNAcentral. Lineage: Eukaryota; Viridiplantae; Streptophyta; Magnoliopsida; Poales; Poaceae.